This 403-nucleotide ribosomal RNA is filed under the name uncultured bacterium. Its description in RNAcentral is "partial 16S ribosomal RNA". It matches the Rfam family "Bacterial small subunit ribosomal RNA", at positions 30 to 526 of the family's 1533-position model. The record is from RNAcentral.
AUUGAACGCUGGCGGCAGGCCUAACACAUGCAAGUCGAGCGAGCUGCGGACGGGUGAGUAAUGUAUGGGGACUGCCCGAUAUAGGGGGAUAACUACUGGAAACGGUAGCUAAUACCGCAUACUAUCGGAUAACCCAUAUGGGAUUAGCUAGUAGGUGAGGUAAUGGCUCACCUAGGCGACGAUCCCUAGCUGGUCUGAGAGGAUGAUCAGCGACACUGGGACUGAGACACGGCCAAGACUCCUACGGAGACAGCAGUGGGUAAUAGUGCACAAUGGGCGCAAGCCUGAGGUAGCCAUGCCGCGGGUAUGAAGAAGGCCAUAGGGUUGUAAAGUACUUUCAGUAGGGAGGCGUUACCGAAAGAAGAAGAACCGGAUAACUCCGUGCCAGCAGCCGCGGUAAUUC